CAAUAGCGUAUAUUAAAGUUGUUGCGGUUAAAAAGCUCGUAGUUGGAUUUCUGCUGAGAACGACCGGUCCGCCCUCUGGGUGUGUAUCUGGCUCUUUCUUGGCAUCUUCUUGGUGAACGUUGCUGCACUUGACUGUGUGGAGCGCUACCCAGGACUUUUACUUUGAGGAAAUUAGAGUGUUUCAAGCAGGCAUACGCCUUGAAUACAUUAGCAUGGAAUAAUAAGAUAGGACCUCGGUUCUAUUUUGUUGGUUUCUAGAGCUGAGGUAAUGAUUAAUAGGGAUAGUUGGGGGCAUUCGUAUUUAACUGUCAGAGGUGAAAUUCUUGGAUUUGUUAAAGACGGACUUCUGCGAAAGCAUUUGCCAAGGAUGUUUUCAUUGA
This 380-nucleotide ribosomal RNA is filed under the name uncultured eukaryote. RNAcentral describes it as "partial 18S ribosomal RNA". It matches the Rfam family "Eukaryotic small subunit ribosomal RNA", at positions 592 to 976 of the family's 1831-position model. The record is from RNAcentral.